UCCCCGGUGGCGCAAUUGGCUAGCGCGUCAGACUGUUAUGUUACAACAUGCCAUCUGGAGGCUGAAAGUUCGACCCUUUCCCGGGGAG
This is a non-coding RNA of Podospora conica, 88 nucleotides long. The record is from the annotation of a GenBank genome assembly. NCBI's taxonomy places the organism in Eukaryota, Fungi, Ascomycota, Sordariomycetes, Sordariales, Podosporaceae.